GGCGCUGGGUUUGAUCCUCAGCACCACAUAAAAAUAAAGAAAUAAAAUUUAUUUAUUUAUUUGUGCUGAGGAUCAAACCCAAGGCCU
RNAcentral lists this microRNA precursor (87 nucleotides) under Marmota monax (woodchuck). Lineage: Eukaryota; Metazoa; Chordata; Mammalia; Rodentia; Sciuridae. The record is from RNAcentral.